AACGAUGGAAAAGUAAUAAGUAAAAUUUAAUUUUUUAUUAGAAUUACACAUUCAAUAAAGCGAUAAGUUUUUUAAUUAAUUGAUAAGAUUUUAUAAUAAUGUUCUCCAGGACAUGGAUAGCAUGGAAGAUGUUUCUGCUGUGUUUCCGUACAUGUUUAUGCGCCAGCUACGAUGACAAUACAGGCAUUGAGUAUAAACAGAACCCUGCGCCGGAUGGACACAGAUGCGGAAUCUGUCCUACAUAUUUUCAAAAGAUUUGUGCCUUUAACUUCGAUGCAAAUACCACAUAU
Molecule: long non-coding RNA, 290 nt
Organism: Pieris brassicae (large cabbage white)
Lineage: Eukaryota; Metazoa; Arthropoda; Insecta; Lepidoptera; Pieridae
Exons: 3
Source: RefSeq, a predicted model, not a curated record